AUGAUAUAUCAGUUCAGGGGUGGUCUCAGAGAAGAAAUUCAGCUCGCUGUUGUCCUCUUUGAGCCGUUGAGAUACGAUGAGUUCUACAACAUGGCACUGAAGCAAGAGGCUGCUCAGUUGAGGUGUGAUGCUUCCAGGAAGCGAGUCAGAGAUGUUACUCCUUCUUCCUCUACUCAAUUGGCCAAGCAGCAGAAGUUUUGGCUUCCUCCUCCUCCGUUCCGUCAGCCAUUUCAGCAGAAGAGCAAAGGUGGCAGUGGUUCUUCCCACCCACCCAACCCUGGCUUUCAGAACAAGACUUCGUCUUAA
This 306-nucleotide ribosomal RNA is filed under the name Triticum aestivum (bread wheat). RNAcentral describes it as "partial small subunit ribosomal RNA". The record is from RNAcentral. Lineage: Eukaryota; Viridiplantae; Streptophyta; Magnoliopsida; Poales; Poaceae.